UACAGAGGUCCCAAGCGUUGUUCGGAUUUAUUGGGCGUAAAGGGUGCGUAGGCGGCAGUGUAAGUUGGACGUGAAAUCCUGGGGCUCAACCUCAGAAUUGCGUUCAAUACUGCAUUGCUAGGGCGCUGUAGAGGAGAUUGGAAUUUACGGUGUAGCAGUGAAAUGCGUAGAUAUCGUAAGGAAGACCAGUGGCGAAAGCGAAUCUCUGGGCAGCAGCCGACGCUGAGGCACGAAGGCCAGGGGAGCAAAC
Molecule: ribosomal RNA, 250 nt
Filed under: uncultured bacterium
Lineage: Bacteria
Description: partial 16S ribosomal RNA
Rfam family: Bacterial small subunit ribosomal RNA
Source: RNAcentral